UUGAUUCUACAACAGAUGAAGAGCAAAAUAAAGGCUUUUUUAGAGCUGCAUAUGUAACUUCUUCCUGUAUCUAUAUUUCAACAAGUUAUAAUUUUGCAUAUCCUUGCAUUCAACUUGAACAGUAGCCUUCAGGUCAUUUCAGGGAUCCUGCUGGUGCCAUUGACUCUCGCGCUGACCAUCUUUAUGUUUUGGCAUGUUUAUCUUAUUCUGCAAAACAAGACCACAAUAGAGUACCAUGAAGGUGUGAGAGCUAUGUGGCUUGCUGAAAAAUGAGGUUAUCUGUAUUCACAUCCAUAUGAUCUUGGUACUUAUGAGAAUAUGAUAUCAGUUUUAGGUCCAAAUAUCUUUUGCUGGGUAUGUCCCACCUCAGAGCAGAUUGGUUCUGGCCUUCGUUUCCGCACCAACAAUCUGAUGGUCCUAUAUCAUUAUUGAUGAUAAUCAAAUUAUGGUGUCCGCAUGCUUUCUUUUUGGAAAUACAGCCAUUAAAAAAGUGUCUUGUGUAGCUCCUCCUUACAUCCACGUUGUUGCAGAAGUAGUCAAAGUUGACUGGACUUCUGAAGCAGUCAGAUGUAAAAUAGGACCCUCCUCAUGACUUUUUUUUUUCUUUCAAAAGUACCAUCCUCAUACAAUCAUGUACAAAUGACAGAGUUCCAGGCUAACUCACAGCAACUUCAAGUAGAAGAGAUAGGCCAAAAAUUGUAACUUAAAGAUGUUGUAAUGUUGUGACUCUCAGGAAGUGUA
Molecule: long non-coding RNA, 741 nt
Organism: Coffea eugenioides
Lineage: Eukaryota; Viridiplantae; Streptophyta; Magnoliopsida; Gentianales; Rubiaceae
Exons: 3
Source: RefSeq, a predicted model, not a curated record